UGGGGAAUCUUCGACAAUGGGGGAAACCCUGAUCUAGCCAUGCCGCGUGUGUGAUGAAGCCCUUAGGGGUGUAAAGCACUUUCAACGGUGAAGAUAAUGACGGUAGCCGUAGAAGAAACCCCGGCUAACUCCGUGCCAGCAGCCGCGGUAAUACGGAGGGGGUUAGCGUUGUUCGGAAUUACUGGGCGUAAAGCGCGCGUAGGCGGACUAUUAAGUCAGGGGUGAAAUCCCGGGGCUCAACCCCGGAACUGCCUUUGAUACUGGUAGUCUUGAGUUCGAGAGAGAUGAGUGGAAUUCCGAGUGUAGAGGUGAAAUUCGUAGAUAUUCGGAGGAACACCAGUGGCGAAGGCGGCUCACUGGCUCGAUACUGACGCUGAGGUGCGAAAGCGUGGGGAGCAAACAGGAUUAGAUACCCGUGUAGUCC
Molecule: ribosomal RNA, 424 nt
Filed under: uncultured prokaryote
Description: bacterial SSU rRNA
Rfam family: Bacterial small subunit ribosomal RNA
Source: RNAcentral